This 356-nucleotide long non-coding RNA is filed under the name Brassica napus (rape). RNAcentral describes it as "long non-coding RNA (BNAP_LNC007721)". The record is from RNAcentral. Lineage: Eukaryota; Viridiplantae; Streptophyta; Magnoliopsida; Brassicales; Brassicaceae.
UUCAUUAAGUGGUAAAAGACUCUUAUAUCCUUGUUAUCUAUAUAUAUAAUAAAUCAUUACUUAAAUGAAAAAAAUAAAUAAAUAAAUAAAAUAAAUAAAUAAAAUAAAAUAAAAUAAAUAAAAAAAUAAAUUUAUGUUUUCGAAUUAUACUUUUUCAAAUUCGAAAUUUUUAAUAAUUUUUUUUUGAAUUUUUUUUCGAAAACUUUUUUAUUUUUAUCUUUUUUCAAAUUUAUUUUUGAAAAUCAAAAAUUAUGUUUGAAACUAUUUUUAAAUUUUUUAUAUAUUUUUAAGUAUUUAUUUAUAUAUUUAUUAGAAUCCUAAAUUUCACAUUCCAAAAGCCUUACUCCACCCCUCAA